GUAACUACUGCAUACACAGCAAUUUUGGGACAGCCAGUGGCUCUGGAAGAGGAGCCAUCUAUGAAUAGUUGGUCAUCUGGAUUAGUGAGAGGCUCGGAGGAGACGUUAGGGAAGUGUGGUUGCAGGUGGUCUACAAUUUCAGUAUAGGAGUGGGAGGGAAGCAAGGAAGAUAUUGGAAUUAGAGAAGUGGGGUUAAGGGAACUUUUGGCAAGACAGAACUCAGGGUUGUCGAGAAAUAGAGCAUGAAGAAUCUGGAUGCGAGAUGGGGAGAGAACGCUUAAUAUUUGGAAGGAAAGCAGGUCUUGUAGAUUAUACGGACUGUGGAUGGUGGUGUCUUGACCAAAUAUUAGCUUUUUACUUUCUAAGGCCAGGGUGGCAGCUGCCACUAGAGCUCUGAAGCAGGUUGGCCAUCCUAGGGCAGUAAUGGUCUAGCUGUUUGGAAAGGUAGGCUAUGGGGGCAAAUGAUGGAGGACUUCCUUUUGCUUGGCCAAGGACACCAAGGGCUAUUCCUUGGUUUUCAGUUGUGUAGAGGGUGAAGGGCCAGGAAAUAUCAGGCAAAGAUAGGACUGGAGCACUUAUAAGGGCAGUUUUAAGUUUGUGAAAGCUAGGGCAUAUGUUGUGGGAGGGAUUUAGGGGCUCAUUUAGGGGACCUUUGGCUGCUUCAUAGAGAGGGUGGGCUAAGAGAAUGAAGUUGGGGAUCUAUAUUCUGAAAAAGCCUGCUAGCCCUAGGAAGGAAAGAAUUUCACUUUUUGAGGAAGGUGAAGAUAGGUUGUCUAUUAAGGCUGCUCGUGCCAGGGUCAUGGCUCGGGACCCAGGGGAGAGUUGAACCCCUAGGUAGGUCAUGGUAGGGGUAGAAAGCUGUGCUUUGGAGGUGGAGACCCUAUAGCCUUUAUCAGCAAGGAAAUUGAGAAACGUGGCAGUGUGGGUUUGGGAGUUUUUUAGGGAGGGGCUACAGAGGAGGAGGUCAUCUACGUAUUGAAGAAGAUGGCUAGGGGAAAGGUUUAAGGAGGCAAGGUCUUGGGCUAGGACUUGCCUGAAGAAAUGAAGGCUAUCCCUGAAGCCUUGAGGGAGAAUAGUCCAUGUGGAGAGUAGAAGAGAGGAUAAUAUAAAGAUCACGCCAAGUGAGUUUGUAAGAUUGGGUAAGGUAUUUGAACUCCUUAAUAUAAGUGUCGGGAUCAGAGAAAAAGGACUCCAGAUGUUUUUCAAUUUGGAAAUGGUCAGAGAGGGAGAAGGGAACAUGGAAAUGCAAAUGAUCCCUUCAGUCCCAGCCACCUCUCAAAGGAGUCCUCUCUUUCAGAUUGCUCUCAUGGAUCUUCAGCCAAGGCUAGAAAUCAAACCAUUCUAGGAUUCACCUGGAAGUGCUGGGAAAAUUGUACUGAAUUUGCUAUUCCAGGGAUAGCUCUGUCUUAGUCUGUUCUCACGCUGCUACUAAAGACAUACUUUCCUUAUAAAGGAAAGAGGUUUAAUUAACUCACAGUUCCACAUGGCUGUGAGGCCUCACAACCAUGGCAGAAAGCAAAGAAGGAACAAAGUCAUGGCGGCAGGCAAGAGAGCUUGUGCAGGGGAACUUCCCUUUGUAAAACCAUAAGAUCUCCUGAGACUUAUUCACUACCAUGAGAACAGUAUGGGGGAAACUGUCCCCAUGAUUCAAUCAUCUCUACCUGUCUGCACCCUUGACACAUGGGGAUUACUACAAUUCAAGGUGAGAUUUGGGUGGGGACACAGUAAAACCAUAUCAGCUCUUUACUCAUUCCAUGACUAUCUAUUAUAGUUAUCAUUUGUAAGCAGUAUCAGAGACACUAGGUAUUCAGUGACAACAGAAAAGAAAUCUUUGUGACCUCAUUGAGAUAAUCUUUUUAACAUGGAAAAGAAUGUAAAGUUGCAAACAAUUGAAUUGCAAAGGAAUUUUUCAGAUUUUGCUGGGAAGAUUUUUGGCUUAGUAUAUCUGAAAAUACCCACAUUUUCAAUUUAUUUUAAGAUAUAAAAUUUGUAGGUACUACUUUUGUGAUAUUUGACGCCAGAUACUUCCUUAUGGCAAGAUCUUUUCCUCUGUACCCCUAGUCCUUUGCUAAAGAGGGGAAUACAAGUUUCUGUAUUACCAGCCUAUAGUACUUGCGGGCCAAUGAGAAGUAAAAUGCAUUAAGUAGUUUAUAAUCCUGCAGUACCCCUUAAGGUUUCUUUCUUCUAUUAUAAUAUUAUGACACAAAUGUCUGGUAGUAAAUAGAUGUGCAAAUAUAGUGAAAUUAUUCUUGUUCUCUAAACUAUCUUAUAAUAAUUAUAUUUACAUAUCUUGUUCUUUCUGUGUUGGUCAGAUAGUUGAAAUGCAUAGUUGUUCUGAAAAAGGGCCUAUAAAUUAGGGAACUUUGAACAAAGAUGACAUCAGUAUUUUUUUUUAUAUGAUAGCAAUUUUAGUGGUUCAUUUCUGAAGAACUUAAUUUGUUUAGCUUAAAAACACAAGAUACUUCACUUAAAAUAUUUGUGAAAAUUAAGAGCAUCAUUAAAAUAAGCAUACUCUGUUGUUUUUGUAAAUAUCAAACAUAAAUAUGAAACAUGGCAGCUCUAUUUAUAAUUACAAAACUUGGAAGCAACCAUAUUGUUUUUCAAUAGGUGAGUGGAUAAACAAACUUUGAUAAAUCAUACAAUAUAAUAUUAUUUAGUGAUAAAAAGAAAUGAACCAAUAAACCACAAAAAGACAUGGAAGAAAAUUAAAUGUAUAUUACAAGGUGAAAGAAAUUAGUCUAAAAAGGCUAAGUACAGUAUGAUUCUCAAAUAUAUGACAUUAUGGUAAAUGCAAAAGAUAGUAAAAAGAUCAGACGUUUCCAGGGGCUUUGUGAAGAGGGUAUGAAAGGUGAGAGAUGGAACCCUGAGCAUUUUCAGGGCAAUAAAACUAUUCUAUAUGAUGCUGUACAGAUGGAUUUAUAACAUUAUACAUUUGUCACAGCUGUAGAAUGUACAACUUAAGAGUGAACACUAAUAUAAACUAUGGAUUUUCCUUGAUAAACUUGUAAUAAUACUGGCUCCUGAAGUGCAAAAAAUGUACCAUACUAAUGCAAGAUCUUGAUAAUAGGGGAAACUCUGUAUAUGUGUGCAUAUGUAUGUGCAUUGGGAGGAGAAUGUAUAUGGAAACUGUAACCUUUGCUCAGUUUUUUUUGAAACUUAAAACUAGUUUAAAAGAAU
RNAcentral lists this long non-coding RNA (3177 nucleotides) under Homo sapiens (human). Its description in RNAcentral is "HSALNT0204828". The record is from RNAcentral. Lineage: Eukaryota; Metazoa; Chordata; Mammalia; Primates; Hominidae.